AGGGGAAUAUUGCACAAUGGAGGGAACUCUGAUGCAGCGACGCCGCGUGAGUGAUGAAGGAAUUCGUUUCGUAAAACUCUGUUCUAUGGGAAGAAAAGGACUGUACCAUAGGAGAAAGCUCCGGCUAAAUACGUGCCAGCAGCCGCGGUAAUACGUAUGGAGCGAGCGUUGUCCGGAAUUAUUGGGCGUAAAGGGUGCGCAGGCGGCUUUACAAGUUGGAUGUGAAAUAUUGUGGCUCAACCACAAACGUGCAUCCAAAACUGCAAAGCUAGAGUUAAGGAGAGGUAAGUGGAAUUCCUGGUGGAGCGGUGGAAUGCGUAGAUAUCAGGAGGAAUACCGGUGGCGAAGGCGACUUACUGGACUUAAACUGACGCUCAGGCACGAAAGCGUGGGGAGCAAACAGG
Molecule: ribosomal RNA, 404 nt
Filed under: Fusobacteriota bacterium
Lineage: Bacteria; Fusobacteriati; Fusobacteriota
Description: Fusobacteria bacterium partial 16S ribosomal RNA
Rfam family: Bacterial small subunit ribosomal RNA
Source: RNAcentral